GCAGUGGUAGCUGAGUGGUUAAAGCAUUAGACUAUUGAUCGAAAGGGACUUCAAAUCCCAGCUCCA
Pangasianodon gigas (Mekong giant catfish) is the source of this 66-nucleotide non-coding RNA. Lineage: Eukaryota; Metazoa; Chordata; Actinopteri; Siluriformes; Pangasiidae. The record is from the annotation of a GenBank genome assembly.